RNAcentral lists this ribosomal RNA (506 nucleotides) under uncultured bacterium. RNAcentral describes it as "partial 16S ribosomal RNA". It matches the Rfam family "Bacterial small subunit ribosomal RNA", at positions 28 to 523 of the family's 1533-position model. The record is from RNAcentral.
GAUGAACGCUAGCUACAGGCUUAACACAUGCAAGUCGAGGGGUAACAAGAGGAAAGCUUGCUUUCCUUGUUGACGACCGGCGCACGGGUGAGUAACGCGUAUCCAACCUGCCUAUAACUAGGGAAUAACCUUGCGAAAGUAAGACUAAUACCCUAUGAUUUCCUUUGAUGACAUCAGAUUAAGAAUAAAGAUUUAUCGGUUAUAGAUUGGGAUGCGUCUGAUUAGCUUGUUGGCAGGGUAACGGCCCCCCAAGGCAACGAUCAGUAGGGGUUCUGAGAGGAAGGUCCCCCACAUUGGAACUGAGACACGGUCCAAACUACUACGGGAGGCAGCAGUGAGGAAUAUUGGUCAAUGGGCGGAAGCCUGAACCAGCCAAGUAGCGUGCAGGAUGACGGCCCUAUGGGUUGUAAACUGCUUUUAUACAGGAAUAAAGUUAGCCACGUGUGGUUAUUUGUAGGUACUGUAUGAAUAAGGACCGGCUAAUUCCGUGCCAGCCGCCGCAGUAA